CGUAGGGCGCGAGCGUUGUCCGGAUUUAUUGGGCGUAAAGAGCUCGUAGGUGGUUUGUCGCGUCUGCCGUGAAAGCUCAUGGCUUAACUGUGGGUUUGCGGUGGAUACGGGCAUAACUUGAGGCAGGUAGGGGAGAAUGGAAUUCCCGGUGUAGCGGUGAAAUGCGCAGAUAUCGGGAGGAACACCGGUGGCGAAGGCGGUUCUCUGGGCCUGUUCUGACACUGAGGAGCGAAAGCGUGGGGAGCGAACAGGAUUAGAUACCCUGGUAGUCCACGCUGUAAACGUUGGGCGCUAGGUGUGGGGUCUUUCCACGGAUUCCGUGCCGCAGCUAACGCAUUAAGCGCCCCGCCUGGGGAGUACGGCCGCAAGGCUA
Molecule: ribosomal RNA, 373 nt
Filed under: uncultured organism
Description: bacterial SSU rRNA
Rfam family: Bacterial small subunit ribosomal RNA
Source: RNAcentral